GAUGAAAACGCAGCGAAAUGCGAUAAGUAAUGUGAAUUGCAGAAUUCAGUGAAUCAUCGAAUCUUUGAACGCACAUUGCGCCCGCCAGUAUUCUGGCGGGCAUGCCUGUUCGAGCGUCAUUUCAACCAUCAAGCCCCAGGCUUGUGUUGGGGACCUGCGGCUGCCGCAGGCCCUGAAAACCAGUGGCGGGCUCGCUGUCACACCGGGCGUAGUAGAUUUUAUCUCGCUCAGGGCGUGCUGCGGGUUCCGGCCGUUAAAAAGCCUUUUUUACCCAAGGUUGACCUCGGAUCAGGUAGGAAGACCCGCUGAACUUAAGCAUAUCAAUAAGCGGAGGA
RNAcentral lists this unclassified non-coding RNA (335 nucleotides) under soil metagenome. RNAcentral describes it as "partial contains 5.8S ribosomal RNA, internal transcribed spacer 2, and large subunit ribosomal RNA". The stretch from base 1 to 119 matches the Rfam family "5.8S ribosomal RNA", at positions 35 to 154 of the family's 154-position model. The record is from RNAcentral.